This 253-nucleotide ribosomal RNA is filed under the name uncultured bacterium. Its description in RNAcentral is "partial 16S ribosomal RNA". It matches the Rfam family "Bacterial small subunit ribosomal RNA", at positions 524 to 776 of the family's 1533-position model. The record is from RNAcentral.
UACGUAGGCAGCAAGCGUUGUUCGGAAUUACUGGGCGUAAAGAGUGCGUAGGUGGUUGGCUAAGUUUGGUGUGAAAUCUCCCGGCUCAACUGGGAGGGUGCGCCGAAAACUGGCUAGCUAGAGUGUGGGAGAGGGACGUGGAAUUCCUGGUGUAGCGGUGAAAUGCGUAGAUAUCAGGAGGAACACCUGCGGUGUAGACGGCGUCCUGGACCAUUACUGACACUGAGGCACGAAAGCGUGGGGAGCAAACAGG